GCUGACAAAGUAAAAGAUGUAUGGAUCUGUGCAAUUUCUGGGUUUUCUUCUAGUUAUGACUGUACAAGAGGUUCCCUGGGCUUCUUGCUGUUGGUAUAGGAGACUAUGUCACUGAAAUCAUUCCUUCUGCCACCGCAGAUGGAAGACAGGAGGUUGGGGGAGGAAGUCAGAAGUGCUGCACUGGCUCCAGAGUGGAGACGCGGGCAGAGGAGAGUUUUUCCUGCCAGCUCCCCAGGAGCAGAGGACACUGGGAACAGGAAGAGACGCAUAAUUUACGAAACCAGAGUAAAGAGCCCUUGCAGAGUCUUCAGGAAACACAGACAUUUGUCUUAAAACCCCGGUGCUCUCCGGCGGCAGAUGGGCGCCCAAGCUUGCGUUUGGGGGAGGAAGGACUGCGGAGUGGGGACAGGGCCCUCGGGCAGCUCCUCACUCACCUUGCGCUUGUUGUGAUAGGCAAUGUAGAGGACAGCCACGAGAACGGCCGCGGUCACCAGAUAGGCAAAGAAGUGGCUGCUCUCUGCGCGGGAACUUCCAGGGCUGUCCUUGAAAAGCUCAUCCUUCUCCCUGCUCAUGGGAUCCAGAAGCAGACCCUCGCGGGUCUCCCCGGAGGCAGGCCCCGGCAUCUUCUCCUUCUCUUCCUCCAGGG
This is a non-coding RNA of Oryctolagus cuniculus (rabbit), 646 nucleotides long. The record is from RefSeq and is a predicted model, not a curated record. NCBI's taxonomy places the organism in Eukaryota, Metazoa, Chordata, Mammalia, Lagomorpha, Leporidae.